UACGUAGGGCGCAAGCGUUGUCCGGAAUUAUUGGGCGUAAAGAGCUCGUAGGCGGUCUGUCGCGUCUGUUGUGAAAACUCGAGGCUCAACCUCGGGCUUGCAGUGGAUACGGGCAGACUAGAGUGCGGUAGGGGAGACUGGAAUUCCUGGUGUAGCGGUGGAAUGCGCAGAUAUCAGGAGGAACACCGAUGGCGAAGGCAGGUCUCUGGGCCGCAACUGACGCUGAGGCGCGAAAGCGUGGGGAGCGAACAGG
RNAcentral lists this ribosomal RNA (253 nucleotides) under uncultured bacterium. Its description in RNAcentral is "partial 16S ribosomal RNA". It matches the Rfam family "Bacterial small subunit ribosomal RNA", at positions 524 to 776 of the family's 1533-position model. The record is from RNAcentral.